GAUGAACGCUGGCGGCGUGCCUAAUACAUGCAAGUCGAGCGAACGGACGAGAAGCUUGCUUCUCUGAUGUUAGCGGCGGACGGGUGAGUAACACGUGGAUAACCUACCUAUAAGACUGGGAUAACUUCGGGAAACCGGAGCUAAUACCGGAUAAUAUUUUGAACCGCAUGGUUCAAAAGUGAAAGACGGUCUUGCUGUCACUUAUAGAUGGAUCCGCGCUGCAUUAGCUAGUUGGUAAGGUAACGGCUUACCAAGGCAACGAUGCAUAGCCGACCUGAGAGGGUGAUCGGCCACACUGGAACUGAGACACGGUCCAGACUCCUACGGGAGGCAGCAGUAGGGAAUCUUCCGCAAUGGGCGAAAGCCUGACGGGGCAACGCCGCGUGAGUGAUGAAGGUCUUCGGAUCGUAAAACUCUGUUAUUAGGGAAGAACAUAUGUGUAAGUAACUGUGCACAUCUUGACGGUACCUAAUCAGAAAGCCACGGCUAACUACGUG
RNAcentral lists this ribosomal RNA (497 nucleotides) under uncultured bacterium. RNAcentral's name for it is "partial 16S ribosomal RNA". It matches the Rfam family "Bacterial small subunit ribosomal RNA", at positions 28 to 507 of the family's 1533-position model. The record is from RNAcentral.